This 444-nucleotide ribosomal RNA is filed under the name uncultured bacterium. RNAcentral's name for it is "SSU rRNA". It matches the Rfam family "Bacterial small subunit ribosomal RNA", at positions 26 to 518 of the family's 1533-position model. The record is from RNAcentral.
AGAGCGAACGCUGGCGGCAGGCCUAACACAUGCAAGUCGAACGCCCCUUCGGGGGAGUGGCGGACGGGUGAGUAACGCGUGGGAAUGUGCCCUUUGGUACGGAACAACUGAGGGAAACUUCAGCUAAUACCGUAUGUGCCCCUCGGGGGAAAGAUUUAUCGCCAUUGGAGCAGCCCGCGUUGGAUUAGGUAGUUGGUGGGGUAAAGGCCUACCAAGCCUACGAUCCAUAGCUGGUCUGAGAGGAUGAUCAGCCACACUGGGACUGAGACACGGCCCAGACUCCUACGGGAGGCAGCAGUGGGGAAUCUUGCGCAAUGGGCGAAAGCCUGACGCAGCCAUGCCGCGUGUAUGAUGAAGGUCUUAGGAUUGUAAAAUACUUUCACCGGGGAAGAUAAUGACGGUACCCGGAGAAGAAGCCCCGGCUAACUUCGCGCCAGCAGCCGC